UAAUGCCUGCCCAGUGACACUGUUAAACGGCCGCGGUAUCCUAACCGUGCAAAGGUAGCGUAAUCACUUGUCCCUUAAAUAGAGACUAGAAUGAACGGCCAAACGAGGCUCUACCUGUCUCUUACAAAUAAUCAGUGAAAUUGAUCUUCCCGUGCAAAAGCAGGAAUGACACUAUAAGACGAGAAGACCCUGUGGAACUUCAAAUACAAAUCAACUAUUACCAACAUCCGCCUAAUUAGGCCUAUACCAAAACAUAGCACCUGAUUCUUAUUUUCGGUUGGGGCGACCCCGGAGUAUAAUAAAACCUCCGGAAAAGAACUUCUCUUUCAAACCUAGACUUACAAUCCAAAGUGCCUUCGGUAAAAUGAUCCAAUAUAUUUGAUCAACGAACCAAGCUACCCCAGGGAUAACAGCGCAAUCCCAUCCAAGAGUCCCUAUCGACGAUGGGGUUUACGACCUCGAUGUUGGAUCAGGACAUCCUGAUGGUGCAACCGCUAUCAAGGGUUCGUUUGUUCAACGAUUAACAGUCCU
This 531-nucleotide ribosomal RNA is filed under the name Manouria emys. Its description in RNAcentral is "partial 16S ribosomal RNA". It matches the Rfam family "Bacterial large subunit ribosomal RNA", at positions 1853 to 2597 of the family's 2925-position model. Lineage: Eukaryota; Metazoa; Chordata; Testudines; Testudinidae. The record is from RNAcentral.